Molecule: non-coding RNA, 86 nt
Filed under: Stenotrophomonas maltophilia
Lineage: Bacteria; Pseudomonadati; Pseudomonadota; Gammaproteobacteria; Lysobacterales; Lysobacteraceae
Also listed under: 3 other names
Source: RNAcentral
GGCUAUGGCGGGCGGUGCGUGGGGGCCUUGCGCCCGCCGGUCUGAUUGCACACCGGGUUUCGAACCUCGCACCGUCCGCCACCUUU